GGCUGUUCGCCAUUUAAAGUGGUACGCGAGCUGGGUUUAGAACGUCGUGAGACAGUUCGGUCCCUAUCUGCCGUGGGCGCUGGAGAACUGAGGGGGGCUGCUCCUAGUACGAGAGGACCGGAGUGGACGCAUCACUGGUGUUCGGGUUGUCAUGCCAAUGGCACUGCCCGGUAGCUAAAUGCGGAAGAGAUAAGUGCUGAAAGCAUCUAAGCACGAAACUUGCCCCGAGAUGAGUUCUCCCUGAGACUUUAAGUCUCCUGAAGGAACGUUGAAGACGACGACGUUGAUAGGCCGGGUGUGUAAGCGCAGCGAUGCGUUGAGCUAACCGGUACUAAUGAACCGUGAGGCUUAACCUU
This 356-nucleotide ribosomal RNA is filed under the name Salmonella enterica subsp. enterica serovar Infantis. RNAcentral's name for it is "partial 23S ribosomal RNA". It matches the Rfam family "Bacterial large subunit ribosomal RNA", at positions 2575 to 2925 of the family's 2925-position model. The record is from RNAcentral. RNAcentral also lists the same sequence under 1 other name. Lineage: Bacteria; Pseudomonadati; Pseudomonadota; Gammaproteobacteria; Enterobacterales; Enterobacteriaceae.